Non-coding RNA from Camellia sinensis, 881 nucleotides. The record is from RefSeq and is a predicted model, not a curated record. NCBI's taxonomy places the organism in Eukaryota, Viridiplantae, Streptophyta, Magnoliopsida, Ericales, Theaceae.
UGGAGUAAGUGUAGUAGGUGGUGGUAGGUGUAGUAGGUGGAGUAGGUGAUGGUAGGUUUUAACAAUUACACACAAGUAACAUUAUUUACAAAUCUUUAGAUCAAACUACUACUUUUUCCCCCUGUAGCAUACAAGCAUUACACACAUGCAACAUUACUUACAAAUCUUUGUUUUACUCUCAUAUAAGUGUUAGAUCAAUGCUUCUUAUCAUCACCACCCUUACUUUUUCCUUCAGCAGCAUACAAGCAUUCCACACCCACAACCCAGACAGAAGCAGAAAGUAGAAAAAUGGGGAUAGCUCCCAGAAAGCAAAACCGUGGUGUAGAAAUGCGCGAAACUAUGGUCCUGCUUUCGGUGGAAGACUUGUGGACACAUUGGACAGUUUGACAAAUUUGAAACUUACUUGAUUAACAGUGAGAGCCGCAGGCGAGCUAAUAAAUUUGUCAAUAACUUGUUUGACAAGGUUUGGACGUUCAUCAGUGAUGGAUCUUGGAGAGCAGCUCAUUGUUAUGCAGGGAUUGCGUGGAUCUACUUCAAUCACCUGUUGACUCCAUUAAUGCGGAAGCACAAGCUUGUUUGAGUACACUUAUGUGGGCAGCAGCCAAAGGGAUCUCAUGCAUAUCCAUCUUGACUGACUGCCAAGUUUUGGUGGAUGCUCUUAAUAAGAGAUGUGCUUCGGACUGGAAUGCGAAUAUGGUGAAAUAUUUUGUAUUUUGCAAAUUACUUUUAGUUUCUAUGUAUAUCUAAGUUUUCCAGGUCUGUAAUCAAGCCAACACAUCUUGUUGCAAGACAAGCUUUUAGUUAAUUGUGUAUAAAUAAAAUUUUCUUAAGGGUACUAUUGAUUAUAGAAGACUUUAUCAAUCCAGUUCCCUAUUUUUAUC